This 29-nucleotide non-coding RNA is filed under the name Homo sapiens (human). Lineage: Eukaryota; Metazoa; Chordata; Mammalia; Primates; Hominidae. The record is from RNAcentral.
ACCAUUGUCAUCCAUGCUUUCAGAGGGAC